RNAcentral lists this ribosomal RNA (492 nucleotides) under uncultured bacterium. RNAcentral describes it as "partial 16S ribosomal RNA". It matches the Rfam family "Bacterial small subunit ribosomal RNA", at positions 29 to 507 of the family's 1533-position model. The record is from RNAcentral.
AGUGAACGCUGGCGGUAGGCCUAACACAUGCAAGUCGAACGGCAGCACAGUAAGAGCUUGCUCUUACGGGUGGCGAGUGGCGGACGGGUGAGGAAUACAUCGGAAUCUACUUUUUCGUGGGGGAUAACGUAGGGAAACUUACGCUAAUACCGCAUACGACCUACGGGUGAAAGCAGGGGAUCUUCGGACCUUGCGCGAUUGAAUGAGCCGAUGUCGGAUUAGCUAGUUGGCGGGGUAAAGGCCCACCAAGGCGACGAUCCGUAGCUGGUCUGAGAGGAUGAUCAGCCACACUGGAACUGAGACACAGUCCAGACUCCUACGGGAGGCGGCAGUGGGGAAUAUUGGACAAUGGGCGCAAGCCUGAUCCAGCCAUACCGCGUGGGUGAAGAAGGCCUUCGGGUUGUAAAGCCCUUUUGUUGGGAAAGAAAAGCAGCAGGUUAAUACCCCGCUGUUCUGACGGUACCCAAAGAAUAAGCACCGGCUAACUUCGUG